AGUCACUGACAUUAGAUACCCCUGUAGUCCCAGCCCUAAACGAUGCGCGUUAGGUGUAUCGGUGACCACGAGUCACCGAGGUGCCGAAGGGAAACCGUGAAACGUGCCGCCUGGGAAGUACGGUCGCAAGGCUGAAACUUAAAGGAAUUGGCGGGGAGCACCACAACGCGUGGAGCCUGCGGUUUAAUUGGAUUCAACGCCGGACAUCUCACCAGGGGCGACAGCAGAAUGACGGCCAGGUUGAUGACCUUGCUUGACAAGCUG
RNAcentral lists this ribosomal RNA (264 nucleotides) under uncultured archaeon. Its description in RNAcentral is "partial 16S ribosomal RNA". It matches the Rfam family "Archaeal small subunit ribosomal RNA", at positions 718 to 982 of the family's 1478-position model. The record is from RNAcentral.